This 1327-nucleotide long non-coding RNA is filed under the name Homo sapiens (human). Its description in RNAcentral is "non-protein coding lnc-POLRMT-8:1". Lineage: Eukaryota; Metazoa; Chordata; Mammalia; Primates; Hominidae. The record is from RNAcentral.
CCCUCCACACCCCACCUCACACCCCACUCGUGGAUACACAAACACACACGCAUCCCUCCAUGGUCGCGUGUGUGAGACCUGCCUGCGGCUCACACUACUGCCCACCGGUGCACACCGGCCCCGGGCGUACACGCGCACGCCCGCCACCUGGUCCCAACACACACAAACCACACGUCCCACCAAAAUAAACCCACCGGAGGCGCACACGCCCGCGACCACCACGCAAACACACUCCUGGAGACACACCUCUCCGGCCACAGGCUCGCGCCCCGGGAACCCCGCCGCGGUCACGGGCCCCUGUUCACACACAGCCCACGGGGACACGCGCCGGUCUCGCUCUCCGGCCACAGCACGCACAGCCCAGGAACCACGACCGCAAACAUCAGUGGCGGUGGCCCCGCGCCGGCCCUGCUCCGAGCCUUCCACGCAUUAGCCGGCUGGAUCCACAGCGGCGUCUACACACCCACCGCCGCAUGCGCGCACCGCCCGCGGCUCGGGUGGAGCGGCUCCCGGGGACACAGCCUGGGGACCCGCACGCUUUCCAGGCCCGCGGCCCCGGGCGCGCCUCCUCGCAGGCGGGGCGCGGGUGGACGCCGUGGGAGCCGCUUAACCCCCUCUCCCCCGGCCUCCCUGGGGCGCGUCCUUCCCGGGCGCCCUUCGUUCCUCCUCCCUCCCGCUCCGCCGCCUCUCUGGGGCCCACGUUCCCCUCUAUUCGUCCUCUCUGCCCCUCUGCGCUCAGACCCUGGCCCUGCGGCCCACCCCACCCGCCGCGCCGCAGGGCGGAGGAUGUCGGGGUGCGUGGGAGGGGGGCGCUCCGCGGUCACCCGGGGAGCCCCCCCAGAGGCGGAGCCUCGCGCGCCGGGGUCACUCCGGGGCGGGUCCCGGACACGCCCGAGGUCACCGAGGAGCCCCGAGGUCACCGGCCCGGCGCGCCGCCCCGCCCUCCCCAGGCGCUCCAAGGACGGCUCCCCGCGCGCCCGGCUCCCCGGGCCCCCUCGCGCCGACCGGCCCUCCCGGAGGCGGUACCUGAAGUCGCUGUACGGGUGGAUGAUCCAGGCCCCCGCCGACUUGACGCGCUCCUGCUCGCGCUCCACGGCCUUCUGGCUGCCGAACAUCCGCAGCGAGAACUUGUUGACGCCCGGCUGCAGGAGCGCGCCGAACUGGCGCUGCAUGAAGCUGGCCUGGCUGCCGCGCGGCUCCCCCGCCGGGCCCGCCUCCUCGCUGCCCGCCUCCUCCGCCGGCCCCGGCCCCGGCGCGGGCCCCGAGGCCGCCCCGCGGCACGAGAACGACACCUUGGGCCCCCGCGCCGGGCCCUCGGGCCCCGCGG